This 2083-nucleotide long non-coding RNA is filed under the name Penaeus japonicus. Its description in RNAcentral is "uncharacterized LOC122266622". Lineage: Eukaryota; Metazoa; Arthropoda; Malacostraca; Decapoda; Penaeidae. The record is from RNAcentral.
GCCGAAUCAAAACAAGUCGUUGAUACGUUUGUGUUCCAGUCAGCUGGACGGAGGCAACGUUGAGGGGUUGACACGGGAGAAAAAUGUCUCUAACAGAAGAACUGUGGCUUUAUAAUCAGCACAGGAAGUAUAGAGGCCAACUGUGGACUGGUUCCUUAUUUGAUGAUGAAUCACCAUGGAGAUGUACAAGCUCUACCUUAUCUUAGGGGUCGGCAACCUCCGGUCCGCAGAGCCUGAACUCAUGGCCCAUCACCCUGCUUGAUGUUUAUAUAACAAUCCAGCCUAGCCAACUAGAUGUCAAAUUGUGGAAGAAGCGGCUCAAGUGAGGGUUGAUUAACCUCUACAUUAGGCCUGAUGCAAUGUCAAAUGCAACCCAAAAGGUACUGAGAGAGGACAUCUUGACUCCAAAGUGUUCUUGCUCUCCAAACCACUUACUGCAGGGCAACAGAACAUGAGAUAUAUGUCGAGGAAUCACCAUACCUAUCCAUCUAUCAACGAAUAUUCACGGGUUGGACAACAGCUUCCUUGUUUUGAAUAAGAAUCAGAACCAAAUGUUGUCGCCAUAUUUGACAAUGACCAUCAAAGGAAACAAAAAUUUUCCAUCAACUUUAUGUAUUAUAGAGGCAUAAAGAAAAUUAAAGCUUUACCCAGGUAUUGGAAAAUGGUUGUUCAUUGGGAUAGGCAAGAUAUUGUCCUCCAGCCAGCAGUGCGGCUUACCAGUAACCCAACAUCUCAAAAACAGUAUUGCUUUGCUGAGGGUCAUGUACUGCUUGUGACUGUGGUUCAAAGUGGUUUUCUGCUAAUCUUAGAAGCUGAUAACAUUUCUUGUCUCACCAAGGGUGUAAUAAUGAGGAAAAGCAAACUCUCAUUUGGUACAUCAAUGAACCACGAUGGUACUAAAUAAUUAGUUUUGAUACAGUCGUAUUAUGCAACAAAUGUUGAUUGAACCAGAGGCAUAGUCAGGAUUUUAGCAUGGGGUGGGAUGGGUUUAAGCUCCUAGAACUUUCAAGCAUAUGGAGUUAGUGAUGCUUCUCCCUUGGCCCUUGCAGGAUUUAAUUGUUUUCACUUUUGUUAUACCAAUACUUUGUAUAAGUCAUAAGUGAACUGUUCUAAGUUAAAUAUUUGGUAAAUGAUGAACUGAUCUUAACCCCUUAAUGCCAGAUAACGUCAAGUUCACACCAUGGCAUGGCUGGUCUUCCUGUUGGAUAAUGUAAAUGUCUUGUCAUGGCUUUGUUUGGCCUUAACACAUAGCUUUUCUCUUAGAGCUAUGCUACUGGAUUGACCAAGUUAAUUAACUUGAUAACAGCCUGUCUUAAUUCCAGGGUAUUUAGAUACACGCAGGUCUAAUGCCUCAGGCUGUUCACCUGCACAAACCACAGCCACCCGCUAUGUACAUGAUCAUCAGGCUUGCCAGCCAUACAAAUAGCCAUGAUGAGAUAUUGUGUCCCCGGAAGCAAGUGCUGCUACCACAUGAAGUAAUAUCAUAUCAUCUGUUGUUAACAUGUGUAUUAACCCAUUGUGGAUGGGUGUCAUGACAUACAUAUCACAGGAACUCUGGCCUGACAACAGGCGUCAUGAUGUACAUGAUGUUUGGGGAUUUUGGAUUACUGUGCUAUUCUAUUGUGCUCUCAGUAAGGAGUGAGUGUUGAUGACAAUUGCAGUCAUAAUUACUAUAAUUACCAUAAUAUUAAGCAAACCUAACAUCCAAAACCUAGAUGGCACCACUUCCUUCUAGCACCAGCAAGAGAGAGAGCCUUGAAUGGCACCCAUCCAUGGUCUCUAACAAGCACUACCUUUAUAGAGCGAUGGCACACAGCAAGUUACCGACCUCAAACUAUGCCCAGUGCCUAAAAUGUGCCCUUGUGCCAGUAGGGAUGCCUUUUAUUGUGGCACUCAUAGUCAUAAGCACAAGUUUUCUUCUUCUUCCCUAUCCCUUCAUGUUAUCUUAACUGUAGAUGGUCAUAUGUUUCAUAUUCAUUCAUAACAGUUCAUGAAUAUGAAAAAUUCAAGUUGUUUUUUGUCCUCUCAUAAAACAGCAAUACUUUUAUCAAAUUGAGUAUAAAGAAAACUGAGCUGAUAUGGA